UAAAAUCUUUUGAAUAAAAAGCAACUAAAAAAGACACUCAAGUCACAAACGCACAGAAAAUUAACACAACACGUUAUUAACACCAACAGCAGUGAAUAUCUUCUUUUGUAAUAGGAAAUUUUAAAACAGUAGCAAUAGUAAUGAUAAUAGCUUCUUCUAAUGUGGUUUACAAGGACAAAACAUCAGAUUUAUAAGAGGAAACAAGGAAAUGAUGUGUGUCUGACGUUCAAAAUAUCUGAAGAAAAUGUGAAUGAAAGAACAUUGAACAGAUUCAGCGAAUGAAUGAAUGAAAGAACACUGAACGAAGUUAAUUAAAGAACGCUGAACGAACUAAAUGAAUGAAUGAACACCGAGCGAACUUAAUAUGAGGAAAGGAAUAUGAAACUAAAAUAACUUAGAAAAAUAAAUACGGAAAGGAAACAGAUGAACGGGGAAAUACCCAAGAAUCAAAACAAAAGAGAAGCGUUAGAUU
Molecule: long non-coding RNA, 472 nt
Organism: Octopus sinensis (East Asian common octopus)
Lineage: Eukaryota; Metazoa; Mollusca; Cephalopoda; Octopoda; Octopodidae
Exons: 3
Source: RefSeq, a predicted model, not a curated record